Molecule: ribosomal RNA, 244 nt
Filed under: uncultured Staphylococcus sp.
Lineage: Bacteria; Bacillati; Bacillota; Bacilli; Caryophanales; Staphylococcaceae
Description: partial 16S ribosomal RNA
Rfam family: Bacterial small subunit ribosomal RNA
Source: RNAcentral
CGGCGGACGGGUUAGUAACACGCGGAUAACCUACCUAUAAGACUGGGAUAACUUCGGGAAACCGUAGCUAAUACCGGAUAAUAUAUUGAACCGCAUGGUUCAAUAGUGAAAGACGGUUUUGCUGUCACUUAUAGAUGGAUCCGCGCCGCAUUAGCUAGUUGGUAAGGUAACGGCUUACCAAGGCAACGAUGCGUAGCCGACCUGAGAGGGUGAUCGGCCACACUGGAACUGAGACACGGUCCAG